AUUGAACGCUGGCGGCAUGCCUUACACAUGCAAGUCGAACGGCAGCACGGGAGCAAUCCUGGUGGCGAGUGGCGAACGGGUGAGUAAUAUAUCGGAACGUGCCCAGUCGUGGGGAUAACGUAGCGAAAGCUACGCUAAUACCGCAUACGAUCUAUGGAUGAAAGCGGGGGAUCGCAAGACCUCGCGCGAUUGGAGCGGCCGAUAUCAGAUUAGGUAGUUGGUGAGGUAAAGGCUCACCAAGCCGACGAUCUGUAGCUGGUCUGAGAGGACGACCAGCCACACUGGGACUGAGACACGGCCCAGACUCCUACGGGAGGCAGCAGUGGGGAAUAUUGGACAAUGGGCGGAAAGACCUGAUCCAGCAAUGCCGCGUGAGUGAUGAAGGCCUUAGGUUGUAAACUGCUUUUGUUACGGAACGAAACGGUGAGCUCUAAUACAGUUUGCUAAUGACGGUACCGUAAGAAUAAGCACCGGC
RNAcentral lists this ribosomal RNA (475 nucleotides) under uncultured bacterium. RNAcentral's name for it is "bacterial SSU rRNA". It matches the Rfam family "Bacterial small subunit ribosomal RNA", at positions 30 to 497 of the family's 1533-position model. The record is from RNAcentral.